Molecule: ribosomal RNA, 492 nt
Filed under: uncultured bacterium
Lineage: Bacteria
Description: partial 16S ribosomal RNA
Rfam family: Bacterial small subunit ribosomal RNA
Source: RNAcentral
AGUGAACGCUGGCGGUAGGCCUAACACAUGCAAGUCGAACGGCAGCACGGUAAGAGCUUGCUCUUACGGGUGGCGAGUGGCGGACGGGUGAGGAAUACAUCGGAUUCUACUUUUUCGUGGGGGAUAACGUAGGGAAACUUACGCUAAUACCGCAUACGACCUACGGGUGAAAGCAGGGGAUCUUCGGACCUUGCGCGAUUGAAUGAGCCGAUGUCGGAUUAGCUAGUUGGCGGGGUAAAGGCCCACCAAGGCGACGAUCCGUAGCUGGUCUGAGAGGAUGAUCAGCCACACUGGAACUGAGACACGGUCCACACUCCUACGGGAGGCAGCAGUGGGGAAUAUUGGACAAUGGGCGCAAGCCUGAUCCAGCCAUACCGCGUGGGUGAAGAAGGCCUUCGGGUUGUAAAGCCCUUUUGUUGGGAAAGAAAAGCAGCAGGUUAAUACCCCGCUGUUCUGACGGUACCCAAAGAAUAAGCACCGGCUAACUUCGUG